GGAGAUACUUCCCUCCAUGUGGGGACAUAGAGGUUGCCUCUGUCCAGGGUUGGAUACGCCAUGCUAGGAGAUACUUCCCUCCAUGUGGGGACAUAGAGGUUGCCUCUGUCCAGGGUUGGAUACGCCAUGCUAGGAGAUACUUCCCUCCAUGUGGGGACAUAGAGGUUGCCUCUGUCCAGGGUUGGAUACGCCAUGCUAGGACAUACUUCCCUCCAUGUGGGGACAUAGAGGUUGCCUCUGUCCAAGGUUGGAUACGCCAUGCUAGGAGAUACUUCCCUCCAUGUUUGGCAAGAGAAAACGUAUCUUGUGAUGUGGACGAAGUAUUGUGGCCAGACUCAGGCUGGAGAUGAGAUGAAGCGUAGCUUAGCACUGGUGACUGCCCCCCUACCAAUUCCUGGACUGCCCCCCC
Molecule: long non-coding RNA, 409 nt
Organism: Oncorhynchus tshawytscha (Chinook salmon)
Lineage: Eukaryota; Metazoa; Chordata; Actinopteri; Salmoniformes; Salmonidae
Source: Ensembl